This 240-nucleotide unclassified non-coding RNA is filed under the name soil metagenome. RNAcentral describes it as "partial contains 5.8S ribosomal RNA, internal transcribed spacer 2, and large subunit ribosomal RNA". The record is from RNAcentral.
AACGGUCUAUACCUGCGGUACCUGCGGAGGGAUCAUUACCGAGUUCAUGCCCUCACGGGUAGAUCUCCCACCCUUGUGUAUUCUAUGUUUGUGUUGCUUUGGCAGGCCGUGGGCCUCGCCCACCACCGGCUCUCGGGCUGGUGCGCGCCUGCCAGAGGACUCUUUAAACUCUGUUUGUUAGUGUCGUCUGAGUAUGAUAACAAUCGUUAAAACUUUCAACAAUGGAUCUCUAGAUCGGAA